This 253-nucleotide ribosomal RNA is filed under the name uncultured bacterium. RNAcentral describes it as "partial 16S ribosomal RNA". It matches the Rfam family "Bacterial small subunit ribosomal RNA", at positions 524 to 776 of the family's 1533-position model. The record is from RNAcentral.
UACGUAGGGGGCGAGCGUUGUCCGGAUUUACUGGGCGUAAAGCGCGCGUAGGCGGAAGUGUAAGUGUGGCCUGAAAGCCCCCGGCUCAACCGGGGAGGGUGGCUGCAAACUGCGCUUCUUGAGGGCGAUAGAGGAGUGUGGAAUUCCUGGUGUAGCGGUGAAAUGCGUAGAUAUCAGGAGGAACACCGGUGGCGAAGGCGGCUCUCUGGACCACAACUGACGCUGAGGCGCGAAAGCUAGGGGAGCAAACAGG